AUAACAUAUUGAACCGCAUGGUUCAAUAGUGAAAGGCGGCUUUGCUGUCACUUAUAGAUGGAUCCGCGCCGUAUUAGCUAGUUGGUAAGGUAACGGCUUACCAAGGCAACGAUACGUAGCCGACCUGAGAGGGUGAUCGGCCACACUGGAACUGAGACACGGUCCAGACUCCUACGGGAGGCAGCAGUAGGGAAUCUUCCGCAAUGGGCGAAAGCCUGACGGAGCAACGCCGCGUGAGUGAUGAAGGUCUUCGGAUCGUAAAACUCUGUUAUCAGGGAAGAACAAAUGUGUAAGUAACUGUGCACAUCUUGACGGUACCUGAUCAGAAAGCCACGGCUAACUACGUGCCAGCAGCCGCGGUAAUACGUAGGUGGCAAGCGUUAUCCGGAAUUAUUGGGCGUAAAGCGCGCGUAGGCGGUUUUUUAAGUCUGAUGUGAAAGCCCACGGCUCAACCGUGGAGGGUCAUUGGAAACUGGAAAACUUGAGUGCAGAAGAGGAAAGUGGAAUUCCAUGUGUAGCGGUGAAAUGCGCAGAGAUAUGGAGGAACACCAGUGGCGAAGGCGACUUUCUGGUCUGUAACUGACG
RNAcentral lists this ribosomal RNA (585 nucleotides) under Staphylococcus sp. RNAcentral's name for it is "bacterial SSU rRNA". It matches the Rfam family "Bacterial small subunit ribosomal RNA", at positions 173 to 745 of the family's 1533-position model. The record is from RNAcentral. Lineage: Bacteria; Bacillati; Bacillota; Bacilli; Caryophanales; Staphylococcaceae.